Non-coding RNA from Acanthosepion pharaonis, 113 nucleotides. Lineage: Eukaryota; Metazoa; Mollusca; Cephalopoda; Sepiida; Sepiidae. The record is from the annotation of a GenBank genome assembly.
UUACGGUCAAAUCAUACUGAACACACCGGUUCUCGUUCAAUCACUGAAGUUAAGCAGUGUCGAGCCAGGUUAGUACAUAGAUGGUGGGGGCUUGGGAACACCUGGUACUGUAA